RNAcentral lists this ribosomal RNA (465 nucleotides) under uncultured bacterium. Its description in RNAcentral is "bacterial SSU rRNA". It matches the Rfam family "Bacterial small subunit ribosomal RNA", at positions 327 to 805 of the family's 1533-position model. The record is from RNAcentral.
ACGACUACACUCCUACGGGAGGCAGCAGUGGGGAAUAUUGCACAAUGGGCGCAAGCCUGAUGCAGCAACGCCGCGUGAGGGACGAAGGCCUUCGGGUUGUAAACCUCUUUUAGCAGGGAAGAGGCGAGAGUGACGGUACCUGCAGAAAAAGCACCGGCUAACUACGUGCCAGCAGCCGCGGUAAUACGUAGGGUGCAAGCGUUGUCCGGAAUUAUUGGGCGUAAAGAGCUCGUAGGCGGUUUGUCACGUCUGCUGUGAAAACCCGAGGCUCAACCUCGGGCUUGCAGUGGGUACGGGCAGACUAGAGGGCGGUAGGGGAGAUUGGAAUUCCUGGUGUAGCGGUGGAAUGCGCAGAUAUCAGGAGGAAAACCGAUGGCGAAGGCAGAUCUCUGGGCCGUAACUGACGCUGAGGAGCGAAAGCAUGGGGAGCAAACAGGAUUAGAUACCCCAGUAGUCCACCAAUCC